CACGGCAAGACUAGGAUAACAAGGAGGGCGGGGCAAGGGAACGAGACAACACAAGCACAUGGCCCAAAGACAAGGCCAUGUGCUUGUACACAAAACACGGGUCUGUCAUGAUCCUGCCUCUAGACUAGAGAAAAGUCAGGACAUGAUGGCAGAACCAUGACAGAACCCCUCCCUUAAGGAUCGCUUUCCAGACGCUCCCUAAGGGAACAUCAAACGCGGGACAUGACUGACUGGGACAGAGACAAAAACCAACAAGACAUGACAAAUAACAACAAAGGCAAACAUGAAUACACAACGGUAGGGUUGGGGUGACAAAUAAAAAAAAAACAAACAGGGAAGGGGAGGAGGCGGGACCACAAAGUUCAUGGGGGACAGACCAGGGUGGGUGGGUGGGGCAGGAGUCUUAGGAGGACGGGACGAAGGCUGUCGACGAGGGGUCCGGGCAGGUCUGGGUGGGGAGAGGUCUCAGGACAACUGACAGAGGACUUGGCAGGAGAGGUCACAGGACACGGGGCAACAUCUACAGGACGAGGGGCUACAUCGACUGGACGAGGGGCUACAUCGACUGGACACGGGGCUACAUCGACUGGACACGGGGCGACAGCUGGACACGGGGCGACAGCUGGACACUCGACAACAUCAACGGGACACGGGGGGACUAUAUCAAUGGGACACGGGGGAACUAUAUCAACGGGAUGCCGGGGGGACAACAGGACACGGGGAGACAUCUACGGGACACGGGGCAACAUUUACGGGACACGGGGCAACAUCACUGGGACACACGACAACAUCAGCUGGACACGGGGCAACACUUACGGGACAUGGGGCAACAACAGGGGAGACUGAAACUGGGUCAGGAACUGCGCUAACUACGGCGCGCUCAGGAUUUCUGGGGACAGGGUCUGGGGACAGGACAGGACUGGUAGGGACUUGCAGGAUCUGGACAAGACGAGACAAAUAAUCAGACAAGGCUUUAGCGGCUAUAAUAACCGGCAUCUCCUUACGAGAUGAGACAGACUGUAUUAGAGUUUCUGCUGCAGAGUCGGCCGCGGCUCUCUCCUCCGCCCUCACGACUUCAGACUUGAAAACAGUUCUCUUAUUCGCCGGUUCGGGUUCAAGGGUCACCGCUGCUGGCUCGGGCACGCCAGCGCUCACCGCUGCUGGCUCAGGCACGCUCACCGCUGCUGGCUCGGGCACGCUCACCGCUGCUGGCUCGGGCACGCCAGCGCUCACUGCUGCAGGAGGAGUCAGAGUCGCAGGACCGGAAGACCCCUUCUUCUUCCUCUUCCUCCUUGACCGCGGUGCAGAGUUCACAGCUGGAACCGAGACGGGUUGGGGGAGUUUGGCCUCAGGCAGGGCAGACUCUGACGCCGACGACUCUGAAGCUGACUCCCACGACAAUCAUCUCCCUCGCUUCCUGGGGAGACUGCUGGCUGUGGAAGGCGCCUCAGGACUCUGGGGGGGAUCUGCCUGUUCCCCCAGUGUUGUGACGGCCAGGAGACGACCCUCUAGGAUCAUUGGCAGCUGGGUAGGUGGGGGGGACCUCUGCGGCUCCUCCUGGGAGAGACUCUCCCACAGCCAGGCAUAGUUGCGGAGGAUCCACUCCCCCUCGGGCGAGUAUGGGAGGGUGACCCCCUUCCUGUCGGUGGGGGAUGACGUCCAGCUUUGCCUCCGGAACUCCGCCUGUCGCUGAAGCUCGGAGGCCCUCCUGCCUGCUGAGUUCCUUGGUGGUCGGUUCAUUCUGUCAGUGUUUGGCAAAGGAGGAACUCAAGUGCAGACAGGAUUCUCAACACGAAGGGUUUAUUAAACACAAAAGGGGAAAAACAAAACCCACGAGGGGGAAAACAACGGCUAGGGCAGAAACUAAACAACUUAACAGGACAGGAUUGACAUGAUAAACAAACUCUUAAACACUAACUACAAACAAACACUCACGGUUACACAAAGACUUCUCAAAGGGGGUUACAAGGAUAAACUUCUCUCACAAGGGCUGACCAGUAGGAACACAUAUGAGGUACAAUGAACCGACGAAAGACAGAGCACACUAGGAGAUCUAAAUAGGGGAACUAAUUAAGACACGACAGGUGGCACAGAUAGGACAAUCACGGCAAGACUAGGAUAACAAGGAGGGCGGGGCAAGGGAACGAGACAACACAAGCACAUGGCCCAAUGACAAGUGCUUGUGCUUGUACACAAAACACGGGUCUGUCAUGAUCCUGCCUCUAGACUAGAGAAAAGUCAGGACAUGAUGGCAGAACCAUGACAGUUGGGUGUUGCAUCUCUCAACUUUCUCUUCACAGUAUCCCACAGAUUCUCUAUGGGGUCCAGGUCAGGAGAGUUUGCAGGCCAAUUGAGCACAGUAAUACCAUGGUCAGUAAACCAUUUACCAGUGGUUUUGGCACUGUGAGCAGGUGCCAGGUCGUGCUGAAAAACGAAAUCUUCAUCUCCAUAAAGCUUUUCAGCAGAUGGAAGCAUGAAGUGCUCCAAAAUCUCCUGAUAGCUAGCUGCAUUGACCCUGCCCUUGAUAAAACACAGGGGACCAACACCAGCAGAUGACAUGGCACUCCAGACCAUCACUGACUGUGGGUACUUGACACUUGACUUCAGGCAUUUUGGCAUUUCCUUCUCCCCAGUCUUCCUCCAGACUCUAGCACCUUGAUUUCCGAAUGACAUGCAAAAUUUGCUUUCAUCCGAAAAAAGUACUUUGGACCACUGAGCAACAGUCCAGUGCUGCUUCUCUGUAGCCCAUUUCCUGCACACGCCUGUGCACGGUGGCUCUGGAUGUUUCUACUCCAGACUCAGUCCACUGCUUCCGCAGGUCCCCCAAAGUCUGGAAUCGGUCCACAAUCUUCCUCAGGGUCCGGUCACCUCUUCUCGUUGUGCAGCGUUUUUUUUUGCCACACUCUUUCCUUCCCACAGACUUCCCACUGAGGUGCCUUGAUACAGCACUCUGGGAACAGCCUAUUAGUUCAGAAAUUUCUUUCUGUGACUUACCCUCUCGAUUGAGGGUGUCAAUGAUGGCCUUCUGGACAGCAGUCAGGUCGGCAGUCUUACCCAUGAUUGCGGUUUUGAGUAAUGAACCAGGCUGGGAGUUUUUAAAGCCUCGGUAAUCUUUUGCAGGUGUUUAGAGUUAAUUAGUUCAUUCAGAUGAUUAGGUUAAUAGCUCGUUUAGAGAACCUUUUCAUGAUAUGCUAGUUUUUUGAGAUAGGAAUUUUGGGUUUUCAUGAGCUGUAUGCCAAAAUCAUCAGUAUUAAAACAAUAAAAGACCUGAAAUAUUUCAGUUGGUGUGCAAUGAAUCUAAAAUAUAUGAAAGCUUAAUUUUUAUCAUUACAUUAUGGAAAAUAAUGAACUUUUAUCACAAUAUGCUAAUUUUUUGAGAAGGACCUGUAUAAUCUUGGCUUGACUUCAGCAUUACAGCUGUAACUGCUUGAUGUUCAUGAGGAGAAGAUGUAGGAUGUUGAAUUUGAUGAGAAAGUGACAUCUUUUGGGAGCUUUGAGAAAUAGAGUCAGAAGGGGUG
This 3518-nucleotide long non-coding RNA is filed under the name Carassius auratus (goldfish). RNAcentral describes it as "lncRNA (ENSCARG00000041103.1)". The record is from RNAcentral. Lineage: Eukaryota; Metazoa; Chordata; Actinopteri; Cypriniformes; Cyprinidae.